GUAGGUGAACCUGCGGAAGGAUCAUUACAGAGAACUUGCCCUUCGGGGUAGAUCUCCCACCCGUUGUUUACAUGCUUUGUUGCUUUGGCAGGCCUGUCGUCAGACUACUGGCUCCGGCUGGUUCGCGCCUGCCAGAGGACCCCAAACUCAUAUUUCUAUACUGUCUGAGUACCAUACAAUAAGUUAAAACUUUCAACAACGGAUC
RNAcentral lists this unclassified non-coding RNA (205 nucleotides) under plant metagenome. RNAcentral's name for it is "partial contains small subunit ribosomal RNA, internal transcribed spacer 1, and 5.8S ribosomal RNA". The record is from RNAcentral.